UCUUUCCUUUUUAUGGGAGAAAUAGAGCAGAGAGGAGUGAAAUAACCCCAGAGGUGAAAAAAUAAAAAUUAUCCAUGCUUGGAACGGGACGUCCUAAUUCUGUCAGUCAUCCCGAUGACUAUUUCUGUGGAAUAUAAGAGGGAAACCAGCGUGUCUCCCAGGAAAACUGCCCUUUCAGUCCAGGGCCUCAGGGAAGAUCUUUGAUGCAUUCUUCUUCCUUGUGCCCUCUCUUCAUUACACAUAGCCUUUCAUGAAGCUUACAAGAAGGGACAUGAGCACAGGCGCCCAGUUUGCAACAACCUGGUUUUUCCUAGAAGAUGGAAUAUUACAACUAGAGGAGACCAUAAAAAAAAAUACAUGCCGACCUCCUUAUCUCCAUUAAAAAAAAAAAGAAAAAAGAAGAAAGGUAAUUGAGGCCAAGCGAGCUGAAGUGAUCUGCUCAGUGUGGCACCGUCAGCUGCAGCAGUAACAGAAUCAGACAAAACCAGUCUCCUAUCUGCUGUGCUCUUCUGUUACUGCACGUCCAGAGAGCAAGGGCCUGCAGCGUCAUGCUCUCCACGCUGCAGGCUGAGCACAGCUUGUUUCCAAAGGCCUCCUGGAUCCGGAGAACUAGGCGUUUGUGGUGGGCCUCAUCCAUGGCGUAGAAGUGGUUGAAAUCCAGGAAGACAAUCUCUUGGGGGUGCUGUGUAAGAAAUGAGUCAAUCUCCAUCAGCCCAUCCGAGACCUUGAUGCCAAAAAGUCCGUGAAUGAAGUAGAUCUCCUGGUCGGCAUCCCCGGGUUUAGAAGACACACGUAGGUCGAAGUAGCGGAUCCCAGCUUCCAGCUGCUCUCGGAACGUCAGGUUCUGAGUCACGGACCAUUUCUUCAUUAGCUUCUUCACCAAGGAGAUCCUGGCGAGGCGUUUGAUGGCUGGGGUUUGGUCAGGCCCCACUGGGGACUUUUCAUCUACCCAGUAGCUAAAUGAAUCAUGUGACCCUGUGCAAAGCAACAGAGGUGAGAAAAGCAGUUGAGACUGGAGCUGGGAAAAAUAAGCCAGCUGACAAGGAAACAGCGCAAAAUUAGCAAAUACGCACAAAAAAUGUAAAUGAACACUUGCAAAACUUUCCAAGCUUGCUAUAAGCACAAAUAAAAGUCAUGUAGUCUUAUUA
This is a long non-coding RNA of Lynx canadensis (Canada lynx), 1148 nucleotides long. RefSeq lists it as uncharacterized. The record is from RefSeq and is a predicted model, not a curated record. Lineage: Eukaryota; Metazoa; Chordata; Mammalia; Carnivora; Felidae. The transcript is spliced from 3 exons.